CCUACGGGAGGCAGCAGUGGGGAAUCUUGGACAAUGGGGGCAACCCUGAUCCAGCCAUGCCGCGUGUGUGAAGAAGGCCUUCGGGUUGUAAAGCACUUUCAGCAGGGAGGAAGGCUUUGGGCUAAUACCCUGGAGUACUUGACGUUACCUGCAGAAGAAGCACCGGCUAAUUUCGUGCCAGCAGCCGCGGUAAUACGAAAGGUGCAAGCGUUAAUCGGAAUUACUGGGCGUAAAGCGCGCGUAGGCGGUGUGUUAAGUCGGAUGUGAAAGCCCAGGGCUCAACCUUGGAAUUGCAUCCGAUACUGGCACGCUAGAGUGCAGUAGAGGGAGGUGGAAUUUCCGGUGUAGCGGUGAAAUGCGUAGAGAUCGGAAGGAACACCAGUGGCGAAGGCGGCCUCCUGGACUGACACUGACGCUGAGGUGCGAAAGCGUGGGGAGCA
RNAcentral lists this ribosomal RNA (440 nucleotides) under uncultured bacterium. Its description in RNAcentral is "bacterial SSU rRNA". It matches the Rfam family "Bacterial small subunit ribosomal RNA", at positions 338 to 770 of the family's 1533-position model. The record is from RNAcentral.